RNAcentral lists this ribosomal RNA (216 nucleotides) under Escherichia coli. RNAcentral's name for it is "partial 16S ribosomal RNA". It matches the Rfam family "Bacterial small subunit ribosomal RNA", at positions 1 to 215 of the family's 1533-position model. Lineage: Bacteria; Pseudomonadati; Pseudomonadota; Gammaproteobacteria; Enterobacterales; Enterobacteriaceae. The record is from RNAcentral.
AAAUUGAAGAGUUUGAUCAUGGCUCAGAUUGAACGCUGGCGGCAGGCCUAACACAUGCAAGUCGAACGGUAACAGGAAGAAGCUUGCUUCUUCGCUGACGAGUGGCGGACGGGUGAGUAAUGUCUGGGAAACUGCCUGAUGGAGGGGGAUAACUACUGGAAACGGUAGCUAAUACCGCAUAACGUCGCAAGACCAAAGAGGGGGACCUUCGGGCCU